UCCAGCGCGGCGGAGGGCGCCCCCUAGAACGCAGAGGGGGGGCAGAGGGAAGUGAGAUGGGGACUACGGGGUCUCCAGUGGUUCAAACCCUGUCGUUCCUCCGCGUUACAGAGCUACAGCGGUCUCCGGGUGGCGAAGUGCGGAGACGGGGUUUUGGAGACGGUGGAUGGAGGAGGGGGAGGGAAAGCUGCCAACUUUGGAUACCAACCCCGUACACCCACCGAAGGGGAUGUCCCACUUUUUCCAGCGCUGGGAGCAAAAAGAUAACAGUGAGCGAGGUUGAAAACACCUGACAGUGAAAAGAGCAAUUUGAAGAAAAACAAAAUUUAUCUUCAAUGUGAAAAGCAAUUUAUAAAAAUCCGAAUACUUGCCAGGAGCAACUUGACAAAAAAGACAAAGGUGGUAGAAGAAAUGUAACCAGCCCACAAUUCCAAUGUUGAUAACAGAUGAGCUCCCUUUCAAGGUGACUGACAUUUACACAAGUACACAGAGCAAGAAGAAGGUCUGAGUGAACUGCCAAGCAUUUUAACUUCUCCUGAGACCAAGUACAUCAACAGUUCUCUUGGAAAAGAACAACUGAUUUGGGAGUCUAGCAGACUGCCAGCUGCAAGACAUUCAUCCAGCAUCAGGAACACAAUGGGCCUUCAUUUGCCUGCCUUUCUGAGGGCACCAAUCAAAAGGAGUCUACUCCUAUGUAAAUCUUCUGCAGGUUGUGCAGUGGACUUCACCUAGUCUCCCAUCUCCAGCUAAUUUGGCCAAGAAUAGUCACCUGGCGCAAGGUGGGGAGGGAGCUCUCAAUUGGCCAGCAACUUCUGACGUGUGACCUGACUGAACAAUGAGAGGCUCGAGUGAAAUUACCAGCUGGUAGUAGGACAGAGGAUAUAGAUACAUGGAAUGGAGCUGAGCCAAAUUAAUGACAAAGGACUAGACAAGAAUGACUGUUGAUGAUCACCUAUGCUGAGAUCACAAAGCUGCCCCGAGUCCAGAAGCAGGACUUCAGCCCUAGGGGCAUUGCCAGAGCGUUUCAAAGAGGUUGCUACCGGUACUACAACAAGUACAUCAACGUGAAGAAGGGGAGCAUCUCUGGGUUUACCAUGGUGCUGGCAGGCUAGAUGCUCUUCAGCUACUGACUUUCCUACAAGGAGCUCAAGCACCAGCAGCUACUCAAGUAUCACUGAAGAAGAAGGCACACUCCGCACUCCCCCACACGACCUUCUUGGCCCGAGCCCCUCCAUAAGGGAGACAGUCUCGAUAGUUGCUGAAUCCUUUCAUAUUCUAAUGGGAAUUAACCUCCAAGGAAAAGAUGACUGGUAUGUGAAAAAUAAAUAAAUAA
Molecule: long non-coding RNA, 1333 nt
Filed under: Homo sapiens (human)
Lineage: Eukaryota; Metazoa; Chordata; Mammalia; Primates; Hominidae
Description: HSALNT0348494
Source: RNAcentral